Molecule: ribosomal RNA, 404 nt
Filed under: uncultured prokaryote
Also listed under: 1 other name
Description: bacterial SSU rRNA
Rfam family: Bacterial small subunit ribosomal RNA
Source: RNAcentral
UGGGGAAUAUUGCACAAUGGGGGGAACCCUGAUGCAGCAACGCCGCGUGAAUGACGAAGGCUUUCGGGUCGUAAAGUUCUUUGAUGGGGGAUGACAAUGACAGUACCCCAAAAACAAGCCACGGCUAACUACGUGCCAGCAGCCGCGGUAAUACGUAGGUGGCGAGCGUUGUCCGGAUUUACUGGGCGUAAAGGAUGCGUAGGUGGAAACUUAAGUGGGAUGUGAAAUCCCCGGGCUCAACCCGGGAACUGCAUUCCAAACUGGGUUACUUGAGUGCAGGAGAGGAAAGCGGAAUUCCUAGUGUAGCGGUGAAAUGCGUAGAUAUUAGGAGGAACACCAGUGGCGAAGGCGGCUUUCUGGACUGUAACUGACACUGAGGCAUGAAAGCGUGGGGAGCAAACAGG